GGGGCAUUACUGGUUUCGACAGGGUAAGGAAAGCUACCAAGUGAUGCAGGCCGAGAGUGAGUCACCUCUCGUAAAUCCAGGCUCAAACAAAAUGUAACUGCGAACAAUAUCGUUCCUUUUGCUCGUAAAUCAGCCGCUGUUGCUGCCUAAACACCUCUUGUAGGUUCGAGCGUCUAUCGUUUGACUCCGUUAAGGACAAUAGACCAACCCCCAACGGAUGCUCUAACUUCGUUCCUCUGGUUGAGAGUUAGCUAAGAUUUAACCAGUGCAUCCCACCCUUCGGGAUAAUGAAGGGUUCCCGCCUUGAGGAUCAGAAAGGCUAAGUCUGUGAAUGAGCAAGGAGUAAAUACUUGUUCUGGACAUGGGUUCGAUUCCCAUAUGCUCCAUUC
Molecule: non-coding RNA, 389 nt
Organism: Planktothrix tepida PCC 9214
Lineage: Bacteria; Bacillati; Cyanobacteriota; Cyanophyceae; Oscillatoriales; Microcoleaceae
Rfam family: transfer-messenger RNA
About the family: Bacterial tmRNA, also known as 10Sa RNA or SsrA, is named for its dual tRNA and mRNA-like properties. Its role is to liberate the mRNA from a stalled ribosome.
Source: Rfam